This 252-nucleotide unclassified non-coding RNA is filed under the name air metagenome. RNAcentral describes it as "partial contains small subunit ribosomal RNA, internal transcribed spacer 1, and 5.8S ribosomal RNA". The stretch from base 1 to 46 matches the Rfam family "Eukaryotic small subunit ribosomal RNA", at positions 1786 to 1831 of the family's 1831-position model. The record is from RNAcentral.
AAGUCGUAACAAGGUUUCCGUAGGUGAACCUGCGGAAGGAUCAUUAUCGAAUUUUGAGAGGGGUUGUAGCUGGCCCGGAUGGGCAUGUGCACGCCCCGAUCAUCCUCUCAACACCUGUGCACUUUUGUAGGAUCAGCCCGACGGCGUCAGCUGCGGUUUGCAUCCUAUGUCUUUUACGAACGCAUCAGUUGUAGAAUGUCCUUUGCUAUAAACGCAUAAAUAUAACUUUCAGCAACGGAUCUCUUGGCUCUC